Molecule: non-coding RNA, 438 nt
Organism: Talpa occidentalis (Iberian mole)
Lineage: Eukaryota; Metazoa; Chordata; Mammalia; Eulipotyphla; Talpidae
Source: the annotation of a RefSeq genome assembly
AUGGUGCCCUCCAGCCUGCUGUGGGCCCUGGUGGCCUUCACCUGCUCUGGAUCCAGUGUGGCCCAGAAAGUGAUCCAAGACCAGCCAGUCAUAGCCAAGCAAGAGGGGUCAACAGUCACCCUCAACUGUCGGUAUGAAACAAGUUGGACUGACUACUAUCUUUACUGGUAUAAGCAGCUUCCUGAUGGAAAGAUCAAUUACCUUAUUCAUCAGUCUCUUUCUUCUGCCUAUAAUGCAGAAAAGGGUCGCUAUUCUAUAAACUUCAAGAGAGCACACAAAUUCAUCUCCAUAACCAUUAAAUCCUUACAACUAGAUGAUUCAGCAAAGUACUUCUGUGCUCUCCGGGAACGCACUGCGUUUGAAGUGAUAGUAAAAGCUGAACAAAAACCCAGACCUCAAGAAAAGCAAGCGCCCAGCUCAGCUCAGGAGCCACACUAA